GGCCGACUGGCCUAAUGGUUAAGGCGUCAGUUUCCGGUUCACGGAAUGAGCUGAAGAUUCUGGGUUCGACUCCCAGGUUGGUCG
RNAcentral lists this transfer RNA (84 nucleotides) under Trametes cingulata. RNAcentral's name for it is "tRNA-Arg". It matches the Rfam family "tRNA". From Rfam's summary of the family: Transfer RNA (tRNA) molecules are approximately 80 nucleotides in length. Their secondary structure includes four short double-helical elements and three loops (D, anti-codon, and T loops). The record is from RNAcentral. Lineage: Eukaryota; Fungi; Basidiomycota; Agaricomycetes; Polyporales; Polyporaceae.